UACGAAGGGGGCUAGCGUUGCUCGGAAUCACUGGGCGUAAAGCGCACGUAGGCGGCUUUCUAAGUCAGGGGUGAAAUCCUGGAGCUCAACUCCAGAACUGCCUUUGAUACUGGAGAGCUCGAGUCCGGAAGAGGUGAGUGGAACUCCGAGUGUAGAGGUGAAAUUCGUAGAUAUUCGGAAGAACACCAGUGGCGAAGGCGGCUCACUGGUCCGGUACUGACGCUGAGGUGCGAAAGCGUGGGGAGCAAACAGG
RNAcentral lists this ribosomal RNA (253 nucleotides) under uncultured bacterium. RNAcentral describes it as "partial 16S ribosomal RNA". It matches the Rfam family "Bacterial small subunit ribosomal RNA", at positions 524 to 776 of the family's 1533-position model. The record is from RNAcentral.